CAAUCGCCGCGGUAAUACAGAGGGUGCGAGCGUUAAUCGGAUUUACUGGGCGUAAAGCGUGCGUAGGCGGCUUUUUAAGUCGGAUGUGAAAUCCCUGAGCUUAACUUAGGAAUUGCAUUCGAUACUGGGAAGCUAGAGUAUGGGAGAGGAUGGUAGAAUUCCAGGUGUAGCGGUGAAAUGCGUAGAGAUCUGGAGGAAUACCGAUGGCGAAGGCAGCCAUCUGGCCUAAUACUGACGCUGAGGUACGAAAGCAUGGGGAGCAAACAGGAUUAGAUACCCCAGUAGUCCCUGUCUCUUAUAC
This 301-nucleotide ribosomal RNA is filed under the name uncultured bacterium. Its description in RNAcentral is "partial 16S ribosomal RNA". It matches the Rfam family "Bacterial small subunit ribosomal RNA", at positions 509 to 807 of the family's 1533-position model. The record is from RNAcentral.